CUCCCCAUCAGUCAGGCCCCGCAACGUGUAACGGUGACUAAGACCAGGGGUGACAGACCAAACAGCCUCCACAGCAAGGGGGCAACUACAGCAAGGCGACAGAGACCUACUUGUCGAUUUCUGAAUACAGAGCUGUGCAAAGAAAUUAUGCGCGUACAGAAGGAAUGAAACAUUUCAUUCCCAACUUAGGAAUUCAGAACACAUUCAUGUAUUCAAACAUCAUGCAACCAUUAAAGGUGACAACACUGACACAGGAAGAUUUGCAGUAACUGCUGCAAAGUCAUGUGCUGUAACGAAAGCUGCCUCAGCAUCCGUCCACCUGGGCUGGCCGCCCUGACCAGGUCCAGCUCACACGCCACACCCACUCUCCUCCAGCCCCCUAGCACAGCCUCCCAAGCCCUGGCGACCUCCAACCUGCUCUCUAUUCCUGUAACUCUGCCGCAUCAACAGCACUGUACAAAUGGAGUCAUGUCGUCCACGCCUUUGGGGAUGAGCUGUCAGCUCGGCACCUGGCAGGACUCUCUAGAGAGCCGUCUGGGGCUGGGGUCUGUCAACAGUCCUUCCCUCUUUACGGCGGCGUCGUGCUCCGUGACACCGACACCACGUAUGUUUCUUUAGCCAUUCAUCUGUGGAAGAACAUCUGACUCUUUUCUAGCUUUAGGCUAUCACAAACAAAGCCACAAUAAAUACCCAUGUACAGAUUUCUUUGUGAAGUUAGUCUUCAUUUCUACGGGAUAAAAGUCAAGGACUGCUAUUACUGGGCCACAUGGUAACUGCAUGUCCGGCUUCUAAAGAAACCGCCAAUUUAACAUCCGUACCCACGAUAUCUGGGUGA
Odocoileus virginianus texanus is the source of this 835-nucleotide long non-coding RNA. RefSeq lists it as uncharacterized. NCBI's taxonomy places the organism in Eukaryota, Metazoa, Chordata, Mammalia, Artiodactyla, Cervidae. The record is from RefSeq and is a predicted model, not a curated record.